RNAcentral lists this transfer RNA (73 nucleotides) under Myotis davidii. It matches the Rfam family "tRNA". Rfam says of the family: Transfer RNA (tRNA) molecules are approximately 80 nucleotides in length. Their secondary structure includes four short double-helical elements and three loops (D, anti-codon, and T loops). The record is from Rfam by way of RNAcentral. Lineage: Eukaryota; Metazoa; Chordata; Mammalia; Chiroptera; Vespertilionidae.
GCUGGUGUGGCUCAGUGGAUAGAGCGUCAGCCUGUGGACUGAAGGAUCACAGGUUCAAUUCCAGUCAAGGGCU